AGCAGCCGCGGUAAUUCCAGCUCCAAUAGCGUAUAUUAAAGUUGUUGCAGUUAAAAAGCUCGUAGUUGAAUUUCGGGGCCAGUAGGUCGGUCGUGCCACUGGUAUGUACUGACUUCACUGGUCCCUCCUUCUUGUAGAACCAUGAUGCCAUUAAUUUGGUGCUGCGGGGAAACAGGACUGUUACUUUGAAAAAAUUAGAGUGCUUAAAGCAGGCUUACGCUUGAAUACAUUAGCAUGGAAUAACGGAAUAGGACGCUCGAUUCUAUUUUGUUGGUUUCUAGGAUUGACGUAAUGAUUAAUAGGGAUAGUUGGGGGCAUUAGUAUUCAAUUGUCAGAGGUGAAAUUCUUGGAUUUAUUGAAGACUAACUACUGCGAAAGCAUUUGCCAAGGAUGUUUUCAUUAAUCAAGAACGAAAGUUAGGGGAUCGAAGACGAUCAGAUACCGUCGUAGUCUUAACCAUAAACUAUGCCGACUAGGGAUCGGAUGAUGUUAAUUUUAUAAUGA
This 504-nucleotide ribosomal RNA is filed under the name uncultured Glomus. RNAcentral's name for it is "SSU rRNA". It matches the Rfam family "Eukaryotic small subunit ribosomal RNA", at positions 569 to 1077 of the family's 1831-position model. Lineage: Eukaryota; Fungi; Glomeromycota; Glomeromycetes; Glomerales; Glomeraceae. The record is from RNAcentral.